UGUCUCAGUUCGGAUUGGAGUCUGCAACCCGACUCCAUGAAGCUGGAUUCGCUAGUAAUCGCGCAUCAGCCACGGCGCGGUGAAUACGUUCCCGGGCCUUGUACACACCGCCCGUCAAGCCAUGGAAGCCGGGGGUGCCUGAAGUGCGCUGCCGCAAGGAGCGUCCUAGGGUAAAACCGGUGACUGGGGCUAAGUCGUAACAAGGUAAC
This 209-nucleotide ribosomal RNA is filed under the name uncultured bacterium. Its description in RNAcentral is "partial 16S ribosomal RNA". It matches the Rfam family "Bacterial small subunit ribosomal RNA", at positions 1284 to 1500 of the family's 1533-position model. The record is from RNAcentral.